This 253-nucleotide ribosomal RNA is filed under the name uncultured bacterium. Its description in RNAcentral is "partial 16S ribosomal RNA". It matches the Rfam family "Bacterial small subunit ribosomal RNA", at positions 524 to 776 of the family's 1533-position model. The record is from RNAcentral.
AACGUAGGACACAAGCGUUAUCCGGAGUUACUGGGCGUAAAGGGCGUGUAGGCGGACGUGUAAGUCUAUUCUGAAAGCUCCUGGCUAAACUGGGAGAGGCGAAUGGAGACUGCAUAUCUAGAGUGAGGAAGAGGAAAGUGGAAUUCCGCGUGUAGUGGUGAAAUGCGCAGAUAUCAGGAAGAACACCAAUGGCGAAAGCAGCUCUCUGGGACGGUACUGACGCUGAGACGCGAAAGCGUGGGGAGCGAACAGG